AAAAAUCCGGGCGCGGAAUUCAAGGGUGUGAGGCGAGCGGCUUAGGCCGCGAAGCAAUCGGAAGUGGUUCCAAGAAAAGCCUCUAAGCUUCAGUCUAACAAGACCGUACCGCAAACCGACACAGGUGGGCGAGAUGAGUAUUCUAAGGCGCUUGAGAGAACUCGGGAGAAGGAACUCGGCAAAUUGGUACCGUAACUUCGGGAUAAGGUACGCCCUUGUAGCUUGACUGGCCUGCGCCAGGAGGGUGAGAGGGUUGCAAUAAACUGGUGGCUGCGACUGUUUAAUAAAAACACAGCACUCUGCAAACACGAAAGUGGACGUAUAGGGUGUGACGCCUGCCCGGUGCCGGAAGAUUAAAUGAUGGGGUGCAAGCUCUUGAUUGAAGUCCCGGUAAACGGCGGCCGUAACUAUAACGGUCCUAAGGUAGCGAAAUUCCUUGUCGGGUAAGUUCCGACCUGCACGAAUGGCGUAACGAUGGCCACACUGUCUCCUCCCGAGACUCAGCGAAGUUGAAGUGUUUGUGAUGAUGCAAUCUCCCCGCGGCUAGACGGAAAGACCCCAUGAACCUUUACUGUAGCUUUGCAUUGGACUUUGAACCGAUCUGUGUAGGAUAGGUGGGAGGCUAUGAAACCGGAACGCUAGUUUCGGUGGAGCCGUCCUUGAAAUACCACCCUGGUUUGUUUGAGGUUCUAACCUUGGUCCGUUAUCCGGACUGGGGACAGUGCAUGGUAGGCAGUUUGACUGGGGCGGUCUCCUCCCAAAGUGUAACGGAGGAGUACGAAGGUACGCUAGGUACGGUCGGAAAUCGUGCUGAUAGUGCAAUGGCAUAAGCGUGCUUAACUGCGAGACCGACAAGUCGAGCAGGUGCGAAAGCAGGUCAUAGUGAUCCGGUGGUUCUGUAUGGAAGGGCCAUCGCUCAACGGAUAAAAGGUACUCUGGGGAUAACAGGCUGAUACCGCCCAAGAGUUCAUAUCGACGGCGGUGUUUGGCACCUCGAUGUCGGCUCAUCUCAUCCUGGGGCUGUAGCCGGUCCCAAGGGUAUGGCUGUUCGCCAUUUAAAGAGGUACGUGAGCUGGGUUUAAAACGUCGUGAGACAGUUUGGUCCCUAUCUGCCGUGGGCGUUGGAUAUUUGAAGGGGGCUGCUCCUAGUACGAGAGGACCGGAGUGGACGAACCUCUGGUGUACCGGUUGUCACGCCAGUGGCAUCGCCGGGUAGCUAUGUUCGGAAGAGAUAACCGCUGAAAGCAUCUAAGCGGGAAACUCGCCUUAAGAUGAGAUAUCCCCGGGGACUUGAUCCCCUUGAAGGGUCGUUCUAGACCAGGGCGUUGAUAGGUCAGGUGUGGAAGU
Molecule: ribosomal RNA, 1347 nt
Filed under: metagenome
Description: bacterial LSU rRNA
Rfam family: Bacterial large subunit ribosomal RNA
Source: RNAcentral